GACGAACGCUGGCGGCGUGCUUAACACAUGCAAGUCGAACGGAAAGGCCCUGCUUUUGUGGGGUGCUCGAGUGGCGAACGGGUGAGUAACACGUGAGUAACCUGCCCUUGACUUUGGGAUAACUUCAGGAAACUGGGGCUAAUACCGGAUAGGAGCUCCUGCUGCAUGGUGGGGGUUGGAAAGUUUCGGCGGUUGGGGAUGGACUCGCGGCUUAUCAGCUUGUUGGUGGGGUAGUGGCUUACCAAGGCUUUGACGGGUAGCCGGCCUGAGAGGGUGACCGGCCACAUUGGGACUGCGAUACGGCCCAGACUCCUACGGGAGGCAGCAGUGGGGAAUAUUGCACAAUGGGCGGAAGCCUGAUGCAGCAACGCCGCGUGCGGGAUGACGGCCUUCGGGUUGUAAACCGCUUUCGCCUGUGACGAAGCGUGAGCGACGGUAAUGGGUAAAGAAGCACCGGCUAACUACGUG
This 468-nucleotide ribosomal RNA is filed under the name uncultured bacterium. RNAcentral describes it as "partial 16S ribosomal RNA". It matches the Rfam family "Bacterial small subunit ribosomal RNA", at positions 28 to 507 of the family's 1533-position model. The record is from RNAcentral.